UACGUAGGGUGCGAGCGUUAUUCGGAAUUACUGGGCGUAAAGCGUGCGCAGGCGGCCCGUUAAGACAGGUGUGAAAUCCCUGGGCUCAACCUAGGAAUUGCGCUUGUGACUGGCGGGCUCGAGUACGGUAGAGGGGGGUGGAAUUCCUGGUGUAGCAGUGAAAUGCGUAGAGAUCAGGAGGAACACCGAUGGCGAAGGCAGCCCCCUGGGCCUGUACUGACGCUCAUGCACGAAAGCGUGGGGAGCAAACAGG
This 253-nucleotide ribosomal RNA is filed under the name uncultured microorganism. RNAcentral's name for it is "partial 16S ribosomal RNA". It matches the Rfam family "Bacterial small subunit ribosomal RNA", at positions 524 to 776 of the family's 1533-position model. The record is from RNAcentral.